GACGAACGCUGGCGGCGUGCUUAACACAUGCAAGUCGAGCGGUAAGGCCCUUUCGGGGGUACACGAGCGGCGAACGGGUGAGUAACACGUGGGUGACCUGCCCUCAGCUCUGGGAUAAGCCUGGGAAACCGGGUCUAAUACUGGAUAUGACUCCAUGACGCAUGUUGUGGGGUGGAAAGCCUUGUGCGGCUGAGGAUGGGCCCGCGGCCUAUCAGCUUGUUGGUGGGGUGANGGCCUACCAAGGCGACGACGGGUAGCCGGCCUGAGAGGGCGACCGGCCACACGUGGGACUGAGACACGGCCCAGACUCCGUACGGGAGGCAGCAGGUGGGGAAUCUUGCGCAAGUGGGACGAAAGCCUGACGCAGCGACGCCGCGUGAGGGAU
RNAcentral lists this ribosomal RNA (385 nucleotides) under uncultured bacterium. Its description in RNAcentral is "bacterial SSU rRNA". It matches the Rfam family "Bacterial small subunit ribosomal RNA", at positions 28 to 409 of the family's 1533-position model. The record is from RNAcentral.